This 253-nucleotide ribosomal RNA is filed under the name uncultured bacterium. Its description in RNAcentral is "partial 16S ribosomal RNA". It matches the Rfam family "Bacterial small subunit ribosomal RNA", at positions 524 to 776 of the family's 1533-position model. The record is from RNAcentral.
UACGGGGGGGCAAGGCGUUGUUCGGAAUUACUGGGCGUAAAGGGCUCGUAGGUGGCCAACUAAGUCGGACGUGAAAUCCCUCAGCUUAACUGGGGAACUGCGUCCGAUACUGGAUGGCUUGAGUUUGGGAGAGGGAUGCGGAAUUCCAGGUGUAGCGGUGAAAUGCGUAGAUAUCUGGAGGAACACCGGUGGCGAAGGCGGCAUCCUGGACCAACACUGACACUGAGGAGCGAAAGCCAGGGGAGCAAACGGG